UGGGGAAUAUUGGACAAUGGGCGAAAGCCUGAUCCAGCCAUGCCGCGUGUGUGAAGAAGGUCUUCGGAUUGUAAAGCACUUUAAGCGAGGAGGAGGCUACUAGUACUAAUACUACUGGAUAGUGGACGUUACUCGCAGAAUAAGCACCGGCUAACUCUGUGCCAGCAGCCGCGGUAAUACAGAGGGUGCGAGCGUUAAUCGGAUUACUGGGCGUAAAGCGUGCGUAGGCGGCUGAUUAAGUCGGAUGUGAAAUCCCUGAGCUUAACUUAGGAAUUGCAUUCGAUACUGGUCAGCUAGAGUAUGGGAGAGGAUGGUAGAAUUCCAGGUGUAGCGGUGAAAUGCGUAGAGAUCUGGAGGAAUACCGAUGGCGAAGGCAGCCAUCUGGCCUAAUACUGACGCUGAGGUACGAAAGCAUGGGGAGCAAACAGG
RNAcentral lists this ribosomal RNA (429 nucleotides) under Pseudomonadota bacterium. RNAcentral describes it as "Proteobacteria bacterium partial 16S ribosomal RNA". It matches the Rfam family "Bacterial small subunit ribosomal RNA", at positions 355 to 776 of the family's 1533-position model. The record is from RNAcentral. Lineage: Bacteria; Pseudomonadati; Pseudomonadota.